This 700-nucleotide ribosomal RNA is filed under the name Streptomyces sp. RNAcentral's name for it is "bacterial SSU rRNA". It matches the Rfam family "Bacterial small subunit ribosomal RNA", at positions 35 to 751 of the family's 1533-position model. The record is from RNAcentral. Lineage: Bacteria; Bacillati; Actinomycetota; Actinomycetes; Kitasatosporales; Streptomycetaceae.
GCCGGGGCGGCAUGCUUACACAUGCAGUCGACGAUGAACCGCUUUCGGGCGGGGAUUAGUGGCGAACGGGUGAGUAACACGUGGGCAAUCUGCCCUGCACUCUGGGACAAGCCCUGGAAACGGGGUCUAAUACCGGAUAUGACUGUCCAUCGCAUGGUGGAUGGUGUAAAGCUCCGGCGGUGCAGGAUGAGCCCGCGGCCUAUCAGCUUGUUGGUGAGGUAGUGGCUCACCAAGGCGACGACGGGUAGCCGGCCUGAGAGGGCGACCGGCCACACUGGGACUGAGACACGGCCCAGACUCCUACGGGAGGCAGCAGUGGGGAAUAUUGCACAAUGGGCGAAAGCCUGAUGCAGCGACGCCGCGUGAGGGAUGACGGCCUUCGGGUUGUAAACCUCUUUCAGCAGGGAAGAAGCGAAAGUGACGGUACCUGCAGAAGAAGCGCCGGCUAACUACGUGCCAGCAGCCGCGGUAAUACGUAGGGCGCAAGCGUUGUCCGGAAUUAUUGGGCGUAAAGAGCUCGUAGGCGGCUUGUCACGUCGGUUGUGAAAGCCCGGGGCUUAACCCCGGGUCUGCAGUCGAUACGGGCAGGCUAGAGUUCGGUAGGGGAGAUCGGAAUUCCUGGUGUAGCGGUGAAAUGCGCAGAUAUCAGGAGGAACACCGGUGGCGAAGGCGGAUCUCUGGGCCGAUACUGACGCUGAGG